Molecule: ribosomal RNA, 1249 nt
Filed under: Micrococcus sp. TA_AJ
Lineage: Bacteria; Bacillati; Actinomycetota; Actinomycetes; Micrococcales; Micrococcaceae
Description: bacterial SSU rRNA
Rfam family: Bacterial small subunit ribosomal RNA
Source: RNAcentral
AGCACAGCUUGCUGGGUGGAUUAGUGGCGAACGGGUGAGUAACACGUGAGUAACCUGCCCUUAACUCUGGGAUAAGCCUGGGAAACUGGGUCUAAUACCGGAUAGGAGCGUCCACCGCAUGGUGGGUGUUGGAAAGAUUUAUCGGUUUUGGAUGGACUCGCGGCCUAUCAGCUUGUUGGUGAGGUAAUGGCUCACCAAGGCGACGACGGGUAGCCGGCCUGAGAGGGUGACCGGCCACACUGGGACUGAGACACGGCCCAGACUCCUACGGGAGGCAGCAGUGGGGAAUAUUGCACAAUGGGCGAAAGCCUGAUGCAGCGACGCCGCGUGAGGGAUGACGGCCUUCGGGUUGUAAACCUCUUUCAGUAGGGAAGAAGCGAAAGUGACGGUACCUGCAGAAGAAGCACCGGCUAACUACGUGCCAGCAGCCGCGGUAAUACGUAGGGUGCGAGCGUUAUCCGGAAUUAUUGGGCGUAAAGAGCUCGUAGGCGGUUUGUCGCGUCUGUCGUGAAAGUCCGGGGCUUAACCCCGGAUCUGCGGUGGGUACGGGCAGACUAGAGUGCAGUAGGGGAGACUGGAAUUCCUGGUGUAGCGGUGGAAUGCGCAGAUAUCAGGAGGAACACCGAUGGCGAAGGCAGGUCUCUGGGCUGUAACUGACGCUGAGGAGCGAAAGCAUGGGGAGCGAACAGGAUUAGAUACCCUGGUAGUCCAUGCCGUAAACGUUGGGCACUAGGUGUGGGGACCAUUCCACGGUUUCCGCGCCGCAGCUAACGCAUUAAGUGCCCCGCCUGGGGAGUACGGCCGCAAGGCUAAAACUCAAAGGAAUUGACGGGGGCCCGCACAAGCGGCGGAGCAUGCGGAUUAAUUCGAUGCAACGCGAAGAACCUUACCAAGGCUUGACAUGUUCUCGAUCGCCGUAGAGAUACGGUUUCCCCUUUGGGGCGGGUUCACAGGUGGUGCAUGGUUGUCGUCAGCUCGUGUCGUGAGAUGUUGGGUUAAGUCCCGCAACGAGCGCAACCCUCGUUCCAUGUUGCCAGCACGUAGUGGUGGGGACUCAUGGGAGACUGCCGGGGUCAACUCGGAGGAAGGUGAGGACGACGUCAAAUCAUCAUGCCCCUUAUGUCUUGGGCUUCACGCAUGCUACAAUGGCCGGUACAAUGGGUUGCGAUACUGUGAGGUGGAGCUAAUCCCAAAAAGCCGGUCUCAGUUCGGAUUGGGGUCUGCAACUCGACCCCAUGAAGUCGGUGUC